RNAcentral lists this long non-coding RNA (1624 nucleotides) under Carica papaya (papaya). Its description in RNAcentral is "long non-coding RNA (CPAP_LNC000236)". Lineage: Eukaryota; Viridiplantae; Streptophyta; Magnoliopsida; Brassicales; Caricaceae. The record is from RNAcentral.
CCUGCAAAUGGUGACAGAUUUUGAUGCAGUUUCUGAAAGGAAAAAGAUGAUAUGGAAAAAUGAAAAUUAUAAUAAAUUCCCCUUUCAUCUAAAAUCUAAAAUAUAUAAAAAUAUGAGGGAUGAUUGAAUGAAUGAAGAAAAGGAAAUACAUUGUAGCAUUAACAACCCAACUCAUGCUCAGUUGAUUGAACAUUUCAACUAUCAAGUCUUCAAAAGAUCACCAUAUACAUUAAGUCAACUUUCUUUUUUUUUUUUCUUUCCCUCCUUUCUUUGAGUCAACUUUCAUUACCUUACACAUGAAAUCUUAAAUCUCUUUAACUUCUCUCUCUCUUUUUGAGGGGGUAAGAAAGAAUAUUAUUUUUUUUAAGAUAAAAGAAGACUUUACUCUGAAUGAGAGAAAGAAUUGCAGCAACAGUAAAUAAAAGAAGACAACCCCAAGGAAAGACAGGAAAAAAAGAAAGCAAGAAACAUAAUACAAAGGUUAUGUACUGUAAAUAAAUAAAUAAAUCUCAUCUAUGUUGGAGAUCAGAGAUGCUAAUAUCACAAAAGCAACCAUGCACUUUGGCCCAUAAGGAAGCCAAGAAAGUAACCAUCUCCCAAAGCUUGGUGUAAGACAUAUGUAUGUUGUUAAAGAUUGUAGAAAUGCGAGCAAGCCAUAUACAACAUAGGCCAGCUGAUGUAAGACAAAUACGGUUGAUUUGUCCAAUUAGAGAUUUAGGAAAAAAAAAACCUAAUUGAACAAAUAAACCCUAUAUAUCCUCUAUCAAUUUAGUAUGAGAUCUAAAAGUAUCAUACCAGAUUCUCAAAACUCUAGACGCAAACAGUUCCAAUCCACCUUCAAAAAAAAAAAAAAAAUCCUAAAACAGCUGCUAGCACCAUUCACCAAUCAUUUCAAAGGUGGUUGACACUACCACCACCACCAGCUCCAGAAAAGACCAAUCGGCUGACCCCAAAAGUCCAGCAACAAAACUCCAUCAGAAACCACCAUACUCGCCAGCAGAAGCUCUCACAACUGCUGCUUCUUGCAGAAUCCGCACUUUUGCACCGUCAUGUCUUACUGGCCUCAAAUUUGAGUUUAGAAACUCCCCUUGAGCCGUCUGCCAAAUGGCUUCCGCCUUCCAAUGGUGUGUGAAGCCCACGCGCAGCCAGCCGUGAGUCAGCCUCGUCCAUUCUGUUUUGUUUUGGCUUCUACAAUAUUUUCCUACAUUGACAAGAUUUUUCUUGAGAGACAUUCGGCUUCAACCAUAGUUAUUAACACUAAAUUAAAUACUAAACUUGAGACACUCAAGGCAACCACAAAUACUGAAUUGGAAAAAAUCCAAAACUCUAUCGAAGCAAUCCUGGAAGAACUGAAUUGCGCACCGCUCAAAUAGGUUCUCCAAUUGAAAAUCUACAUGUGACUUAAGCAGUCAUUCUGCUUAAAGACAUGACAUGUUGAGGAUAAUGCUGGAGAUAUUACAAAGAAGGCAGAGGUUGAAACCCCUGAUUUUGAUGGAAGAAGGGAUCUUGAGUUCUUUCGUGAUUGGCUUAAUUCAAUAGAUUCACUUCAACUGGUAUGACAUGCCAGAUACAUGAAGAGUUUGAGUUGCCAAGAUGAAGUUGGUUGGACUUGCAAAAAUAUGAU